CUGGGAGAAUCCACCGCCAUGGUAAACUUCACAGUAGACCAGAUCCGGGCCAUCCUGGACAAGAAGGCCAACAUCCGUAACAUGGUCUGUCAUUGCCCACAUGGAUCAUGGCAAGUCCACCCUGACAGACUCCCUGGUGUGCAAGGCAGGCAUCAUUGCAUCAGCCCAGGCUGGGGAAACAUGAUUCACUGACACUCGGAAUAAAGAGCAGGAGUGUUGCAUCACCAUCAAGUCAACUGCCAUCUCCCUUUUCUAUGAGCUUUCUGAAAAUGACUUGAACUUCAUUAAGCAGAGCAAGGAUGGCUCUGGUUUCCUCAUCAACCUCAUUGACUCUCCUGGGCAUGUAGACUUUUCCUCAGAGGUGACAGCUGCCCUCCGAGUCACCGAUGGCGCCUUGGUGGUGGUGGACUGAGUGUCAGGCAUGUGUGUGCAGACAGAGACGGUGCUGAGGCAAGCCACUGCUGAGCGCAUCAAGCCUGUACUGAUGAUGAACAAGAUGGACUGUGCUCUGCUUGAGCUGCAGCUGGAGCCUGAGGAGCUCUACCAGACCUUCCAGCAUAUCAUGGAGAACGUGAAUGUCAUCAUCUCCACCUACAGGGAGGGCGAGAGUGGCCCCAUGGGCAACAUCGUGAUUGACCCUGUCCUUGGCACUGUGGGUUUUGGGUCUGGCCUCCAUGGUUGGGCCUUUACCCUGAAGCAGUUUGCAGAGAUGUACGUGGCCAAGUUUGCAGCCAAGGGCGAGGGUCAGCUUGGGCCAGCUGAGCGGGCCAGGAAAGUGGAGGACAUGAUGAAGAAGCUGUGGGGUGACCGGGACUUUGACCCAGCCAAUGGCAAAUUCAGCAAGUCAGCCACCAGCCCUGACGGAAAGAAGCUUCCACAGACGUUCUGUCAGCUCAUCUUAGAUCCUGUCUCCAAGGUGUUUCACGCAAUCAUGAAUUUCAAGAAAGAGGAGACAGCAAAACCGAUUGAAAAAUUGGACAUCAAGUUGGACAGUGAAGAUAAGGACAAAGAAGGCAAACCUCUGCUGAAGGCUGUGAUGCGCCGCUGGCUGCCUGCCGGGGAUGCCCUGUUGCAGAUGAUCACCAUCCACCUGCCUUCCCCCGUGACGGCCCAGAAGUACCCUGUGAACUUCUGUACAAGGGCCCCCUCAAUGAAAUCAAGGACAGCGUGGUGGCUGGCUUCCAGGGGGCCACCAAGGAGGGAGCACUGGGUGAAGAGAACAUGCGGGGUGUGCGCUUUGAUGUUCAUGAUAUGACGUUGCAUGCAGAUGCCAUCCCCCGUGGGGGUGGACAGAUCAUCCCCACAGCCCGGCGCUGCCUGGAUGCCAGUGUUCUGACUGCCCAGCCCUGGCUCAUGGAGCCCAUCUACCUUGUGGAAAUACAAUGUCCAGAACUAGUGGUUGGUGGCAUAGGGAAGCGGGGCCAUGUCUUCGAGGAGUCCCGGGUGGCUAGCACCCCCAUGUUUACGGUUAAAGCCUACCUCCCCGUCAAUGAGUCCUUUGGCUUCACUGCCGACUUGAAGUCCAACACAGGUAGCCAGGCCUUCCCCCAGUGCGUGUUUGACCACUGGCAGAUCCUGCCCAGAGACCCCUUUGACCACACCAGUCGCCCCAGCCAGGUUGUGGCGCAGACCCAUUAAGCUCAAAGGCCUGAAGGAAGGCAUCCCAGCCCUGGACAACUUCCUGGACAAAUUGUAGGCUACCCCUGCCGCAGCGCCCCCCACUUCAGUGGGAUGGGCUCAGCACCCACACUCAGUUUGACCACAGCAACACAUCCUCAUUCUCAGACAACACCUUGAGACUGUCCCAACACGACACAGUGAUGCUCCACCUGAGAGAUGCUGGGGCCAUCGCUCAACGUUAACACUUGAUGCCGUUUCUUUUGAUAUUUAUUUCCAGAUUGCGAGAGCAGCAGAAAUGCCUUCUUCAUAGGGACUGAUUUGGCCAGUGGGGCAGAGGGAGGAGGGAUGGGACACUCAACUUUUUUUUUCCAUUUCUUCAGAGGAAAACUCAGAUGUCUAAAAAUUUUUAAAUGAACGCAUUAAGAGGUAUAUUUGGGCAAAUGGUCCUUAGUGGUUUUUCCCCCCAGAAAGGAGAAAGGAACAGCGGGUAGGUAAUUUCUAGAAGGCAGGGAGUCCUGUGUGGUGUGACCAUGAGCAACUCCAGCUGUGUUAGUGCCAUUGAAAUAAUAAAAUUGAUCCGGUGGUGACUUCAAAAAAAAAAAAGAAAGAAAGAAUAAGACACAGUAGGUGGCACAUGUGGCUAAGGAAUAGGGCGCUGGCCCCACAUAUUGGAGGUGGCGGGUUCAAACCCGGCCUCAGCCAAAAACUGCAAAAAAAAGAAUAAGACACAGAGGUGGCGCUUGUAGCCAGAGGGUUCGAAUCUGGCCCAGACCUGCCAAACAAUGACAACUACAACCAAAAAAUAGCCGGGUGUUGUGGCAGGCGACUGUAGUCCCAGCUACUUGGGAGGCUGAGGCAAGAGAAUUACUGAAGCCCAAGAGUUUGAGGUUGCUGUGAGCCGUGAUGCCAUGGCCCUCUACCCAGGGCUAUAGCUUGAGGCUCUGUUUUAAAAAAAGAAAGAAAAGACACAGUAAAGCCAGAGAUUCAAAGUUCCUGCUAUCGGCUUUGCAAACUACUGUGGUGAAGUCAGUCUGCCCUUCCUCUACGCCUUAUGAAACCAUCUCCCUGUACACUACCUUCCUGAGAUAACAGAUAACAGUAGGUGACAUUUAUUUUAAAAAUAAAAUACAUAGCCGGGCAUUGUGGCGGGUGCCUGUAGUCCCAGCUGCUUGGGAGGCUGAGGCAAGAGAAUCACUUAAGCCCAGGAGUUGGAGGUUGCUGUGAGCUGUGUGAGGCCACAACACUCUACCGAGGGCCUUAAAGUGAGACUCUGUCUCUACAAAAAUAAAUAAAUUAAUUAAAAAAAAUAAAUAAAAAUAAAAUACAAUAAAUAUAUAUUCUUUACAUGUAUUAUCUAACUUUUACAUAAAAUCUGAUUUCUUUCCUGAUAUUUUUAUGACUUAAAUUUAACUUCUUGAACAGCUAACACUUUCACGUUGUUCAAAUUCAAAAAACCCUAAUUCUCUCUCCUCCUCCUAUCCUGCAAGUACCAGGUCACCCUCCCCACUAGUGACUAAUGCUAACAGUUUCUUGUGCACCUUUCCUGAGAUAUUUUAAGCCUAUACAAAUUAAUACGUGUAUAUGUCCUCCUCCUUCUUUUGACACAAAUGGUAGCACAAUCCACUCUUCUGUGCCUGUUUUUUCACUUUAUUUAUCUUGGAGAGUUUCCCAUAUCAGUACAUAAAGUACUCCACAGCACUCACCACUGUGCAGCUGUACCAUCACUGAUUCAAGCAUUUCCCAAUUAAUGGACACUUAGGCUGUUUGCAAUAUAUGUCAAUUUGAAAAUGUGUCAAGUAGAUCUGUUGUCAUCUAAUCCCCACAACAACCCCAGAAGUAGGUACUAUUAUUAUCCUCGUUCAACAGAAGAGGAAAACAGUUAACAGAAUUCACAGCUCGACCACAGACCCAGGAGAAGUAUGCAAACCCAGGUUCACCUGCCUGAAAUUCUUAAACCACAUCAGAAAUGACCACAAUCUCCAAUAAUACAUAAUUCUACCUAGGCCUAAGAAUA
RNA transcript from Nycticebus coucang (slow loris), 3634 nucleotides. It is a transcript of the gene named elongation factor 2-like, with no coding region annotated. The transcript has a single exon. The record is from RefSeq and is a predicted model, not a curated record. NCBI's taxonomy places the organism in Eukaryota, Metazoa, Chordata, Mammalia, Primates, Lorisidae.